AGCGAACGCUGGCGGCAGGCUUAACACAUGCAAGUCGAGCGGGCAUAGCAAUAUGUCAGCGGCAGACGGGUGAGUAACGCGUGGGAACGUACCUUUUGGUUCGGAACAACACAGGGAAACUUGUGCUAAUACCGGAUAAGCCCUUACGGGGAAAGAUUUAUCGCCGAAAGAUCGGCCCGCGUCUGAUUAGCUAGUUGGUGAGGUAAUGGCUCACCAAGGCGACGAUCAGUAGCUGGUCUGAGAGGAUGAUCAGCCACAUUGGGACUGAGACACGGCCCAAACCCCCGCGGGGGGCGGGAGGGGGGAAUUUGGGGAAAGGGGCGCAAGCCUGAUCCAGCCAUGCCGGGGGGGUGGGAAAGGCCCUAGGGUUGAAAAGCUUUUUUGGGGGGGAAAAAAAUGGGGGGACCGAAAGAAUAAGCCCCGGCUAACUUCGU
RNAcentral lists this ribosomal RNA (434 nucleotides) under uncultured bacterium. RNAcentral's name for it is "partial 16S ribosomal RNA". It matches the Rfam family "Bacterial small subunit ribosomal RNA", at positions 30 to 506 of the family's 1533-position model. The record is from RNAcentral.